RNAcentral lists this long non-coding RNA (442 nucleotides) under Phascolarctos cinereus (koala). Its description in RNAcentral is "lncRNA (ENSPCIG00000036164.1)". The record is from RNAcentral. Lineage: Eukaryota; Metazoa; Chordata; Mammalia; Diprotodontia; Phascolarctidae.
GUGGAAUUCCAACAAGCUGACCACAUAGUGGAAAAGAACGCAUAGCAACUUACUCCAACAACUCGUAGUUUAGCACAGAAUGGACCCUAAAAAAAGACAUUAGAAGACCAGAUGAUACUAGUCACUUAGGAGGAAAACAACAAGUAGAGAAAUGACUCAGAGGGUAGUAGUACUUGGAGCAUGAGUUAUCCAGGUAUAUGUAUUUCCCUGGUUAGUUGGAAUCCCACUCCUAAUGGUGGGAUGGGAUUUCAUGGAAAAGGGUAAAAUUCCUGACAAGCAUUUCUGCUUUGAAUUCUGUGAUCUUUGGCCAGAACUCUUCUGUUAUGAGUGUCCUAUCCAGAACAGUUUGGAAUGUGAUAUUCUUCUUCCAUACAAUAUUUUGGCUCAUCAAAGGGUGCAUUCAGACAGCAAGUUGUCAUUUGAUCAUGCAUUUUACCAAUGA